This 263-nucleotide long non-coding RNA is filed under the name Capsicum annuum. Its description in RNAcentral is "long non-coding RNA (CANN_LNC008289)". Lineage: Eukaryota; Viridiplantae; Streptophyta; Magnoliopsida; Solanales; Solanaceae. The record is from RNAcentral.
AUCAAUAGAAGUUCAAACCUUCAUCUUAGGUGACCCAAAGGACUCACACUUCCUCAAGCACACCUUUCUUGCCAAUUUCCCAAGACAAGUGAUAAACCAAUUUCAAUGUUCAAGGGACCUAAUUUCGGAUUCUAGGGCUACACUAGAAGACUAAAGCUACAAAUAAGAGUAAUGUUCAAUAUCAUCAAAAGUCUAAUGAAAAUAGUAUCUAAAGUGUCUAUUUAUACUAUUUCAUAACAAUGACUAAAUUUCCUUUAAUGAGG